This 398-nucleotide unclassified non-coding RNA is filed under the name soil metagenome. Its description in RNAcentral is "partial contains 5.8S ribosomal RNA, internal transcribed spacer 2, and large subunit ribosomal RNA". The stretch from base 1 to 120 matches the Rfam family "5.8S ribosomal RNA", at positions 35 to 154 of the family's 154-position model. The record is from RNAcentral.
GAUGAAGAACGUAGCGAAAUGCGAUAAGUAAUGUGAAUUUCAGAAUUCAGUGAAUCAUCGAAUCUUUGAACGCACCUUGCGCUCCUUGGUAUUCCGAGGAGCAUGCCUGUUUGAGUGUCAUUAAGUUCUCAACUAUUAUCAGCUUUAGCUGAUAAUGGCUUGGAUAUGGGGGUUUAUUUUGCUGGCUUCUUCACAGAUUGUCAGCUCCCCUUAAAUGCAUUAGCCGGUGCCCCGCGUGGACUGUCUAUUGGUGUGAUAAUUAUCUACGCCGUGGACAUCUACAAUCAUAUGGGUUUGCACUGCUUCCAACCGUCUGUUUAUUCAGACAAUACAUGACAAUUUGACCUCAAAUCAGGUAGGACUACCCGCUGAACUUAAGCAUAUCAAUAAGCGGAGGA